RNAcentral lists this ribosomal RNA (487 nucleotides) under uncultured bacterium. RNAcentral's name for it is "partial 16S ribosomal RNA". It matches the Rfam family "Bacterial small subunit ribosomal RNA", at positions 899 to 1397 of the family's 1533-position model. The record is from RNAcentral.
ACUCAAAGGAAUAGACGGGGGACCGCACAAGCAGCGGAGCGUGUGGUUUAAUUCGAGGCUACACGAAGAACCUUACCUGGGUUUGACAUCGUGUUGAAGGCUGUAUGAAAGUAUGGCUGCUCCGCAAGGAGCAAUACGACAGGUGCUGCAUGGCUGUCGUCAGCUCGUGCCGUGAGGUGUUCGGUUAAGUCCGCAAACGAGCGCAACCCUCGGUGCCAGUUACAAGUGUCUGGCGCGACUGCCCGUGGCAAACGGGAGGAAGGUGGGGAUGACGUCAAGUCAGCAUGGCCUUUAUAUCCAGGGCUACACACACGCUACAAUGGCGUAUACAAUGGGUCGCGAAGCCGCGAGGCGGAGCCAAUCCUACAAAGUACGUCUCAGUUCAGAUUGCAGGCUGCAACCCGCCUGCAUGAAGUUGGAGUUGCUAGUAACCGCGCGUCAGCAGAGUGCGGUGAAUACGUUCCCGGUCCUUGCACACACCGCCCGU